UGAAUAGGGCGCUUAGUCAGAUGCUGCAGACCCGAAACGAAGUGAUCUAUCCAUGAGCAAGUUGAAGCUAGUGUAAGAACUAGUGGAGGACUGAACCCAUAGGCGUUGAAAAGCCCCGGGAUGACUUGUGGAUAGGGGUGAAAGGCCAAUCAAACUUCGUGAUAGCUGGUUCUCUCCGAAAUAUAUUUAGGUAUAGCGUUGUGUCGUAAUAUAAGGGGGUAGAGCACUGAAUGGGCUAGGGCAUACACCAAUGUACCAAACCCUAUCAAACUCCGAAUACCUUAUAUGUAAUCACAGCAGUCAGGCGGCGAGUGAUAAAAUCCGUCGUCAAGAGGGAAACAACCCAGACUAUCAGCUAAGGUCCCCAAGUCUUACUUAAGUGGAAAACGAUGUGAAGUUACUUAAACAACCAGGAGGUUGGCUUAGAAGCAGCCAUCCUUUAAAGAAAGCGUAAUAGCUCACUGGUCUAGUGAUUUUGCGCGGAAAAUAUAACGGGGCUAAAGUAAGCACCGAAGCUAUAGACUUAGUUUUACUAAGUGGUAGGAGAGCGUUCUAUUUGCGCCGAAGGUAUACCGGUAAGGAGUGCUGGAGCGAAUAGAAGUGAGCAUGCAGGCAUGAGUAGCGAUAAUUAAUGUGAGAAUCAUUAACGCCGUAAACCCAAGGUUUCCUACGCGAUGCUCGUCAUCGUAGGGUUAGUCGGGUCCUAAGUCGAGUCCGAAAGGGGUAGACGAUGGCAAAUUGGUUAAUAUUCCAAUACCAACAUUAGUGUGCGAUGGAAGGACGCUUAGGGCUAAGGGGGCUAGCGGAUGGAAGUGCUAGUCUAAGGUCGUAGGAGGUUAUACAGGCAAAUCCGUAUAACAAUACUCCGAGAACUGAAAGGCUUUUUGAAGUCUUCGGAUGGAUAGAAGAACCCCUGAUGCCGUCGAGCCAAGAAAAGUUUCUAAGUUUAGCUAAUGUUGCCCGUACCGUAAACCGACACAGGUGGGUGGGAUGAGUAUUCUAAGGCGCGUGGAAGAACUCUCUUUAAGGAACUCUGCAAAAUAGCACCGUAUCUUCGGUAUAAGGUGUGGUUAGCUUUGUAUUAGGAUUUACUCCGAAAGCAAGGAAACUUACAACAAAGAGUCCCUCCCGACUGUUUACCAAAAACACAGCACUCUGCUAACUCGUAAGAGGAUGUAUAGGGUGUGACGCCUGCCCGGUGCUCGAAGGUUAAUUGAUGGGGUUAGCAUUAGCGAAGCUCUUGAUCGAAGCCCGAGUAAACGGCGGCCGUAACUAUAACGGUCCUAAGGUAGCGAAAUUCCUUGUCGGUUAAAUACCGACCUGCAUGAAUGGCGUAACGAGA
Molecule: ribosomal RNA, 1342 nt
Filed under: Campylobacter jejuni
Lineage: Bacteria; Pseudomonadati; Campylobacterota; Epsilonproteobacteria; Campylobacterales; Campylobacteraceae
Description: partial 23S ribosomal RNA
Rfam family: Bacterial large subunit ribosomal RNA
Source: RNAcentral